RNAcentral lists this long non-coding RNA (2288 nucleotides) under Ananas comosus (pineapple). RNAcentral's name for it is "long non-coding RNA (ACOM_LNC030650)". The record is from RNAcentral. Lineage: Eukaryota; Viridiplantae; Streptophyta; Magnoliopsida; Poales; Bromeliaceae.
CGUUUGUAAAGUCCUCGGUGCAGCUUCGUACGCCGUCUCAACGUGCUUCUACCCCUCCUGCAGCUCCACCUCCUGCUACUGCUACUUCUUCCCGUCCUUCUAUCGACAUUUCUGAGGAAGAUGUUUCUGUUUCAUCGGUGUAUCGCGAGCAGCAACGUUUAUCUGAGGAGCUACAAAAGUUGUCUGCAGAACAAGCUGUGAUUCGUAAGGAUGUGAGCAAGAUGAAGCGCUUGUUGAAUAUGAUUUUUGACAUAUUGGGAUGUUGUCGGGCAGAUUUACCUCCAGGAGAUGAUUCUGACUAGGGGUUAUCGAGCUUCUUCUUUUGUCGUUUUGGCGCUUUCUGACAAAAAGGGGGAGAUGGAUGGGAUGGUCUUAAUGAUGAUGAUGAUGCAUUGGUGCAUUCCUGAUGUUUAGUUAGUUAAGAUGUUUAAUGCAUUCCUGAUGUUUAGUUAGUUAAGAUGUUUAAUUAUGAACUAUGAUGCUUUAGGUGUCUGACUUAGUGCUUUCGGUUAGUUUGACUAUGAACUAUGAAGUGUGAACUUUAGUUGAUUGUUUGAUCUUCUUGAUACUUGAAUCUUGAUUAUGUUUUGAGAAUGUUUUUGCAGGAAUAAUUCAAGACUUCAAGACUCCAUGUCUAAGUCAUAGAGUUUGUAUUAAGGUUGUAAAAGUGUAAAUUUUGUUUAUUGGAUUGAUCAUGCAGGAGAUUAUCGUUUGGUGAUUGCGAUGAUCUUCUUUUUAUGACUUAUUGGUUGUAUACAAACUUUGUGUUAUAUUUUGUCACGAAAUCGCCAAAGGGGGAGAUUGUUAAGGAUUUUAUAGGUUGGCGAAUUUCGUAAAGUUGUUUGGAGUCUUGAAGAGUUGAUCGCAGAAGUUUUUGAGAAAAGAUUCAAAUUGGAGGACAAAGACUCAUUCGGAAAGAUCGACACCUAAGGUAUGAAGAAAAGAUCAUUUGUGGUGAAGAUACAUAAUUAGAAUAAGUUCAGAAGGCUUAGAUUGUUUUUAAACAACUUUUCUGAACUUUCUUGUGUUCUGGGACCGGUCUCUGAAAUGGAGAGACCGGUUCCCCCAAGGUCCUCACUGCGUAAACCUUGAUGCAACCGGUCCCCUGUGAUGAGAGACCGGUUCCCGAACCUUGGUGGUUCUGUCGCGCAGCGAGGGACCGGUCUCAAGUUUGAGAGACCGGUUCCCGAACGUGGGGUUUUUGGUCACGCAGGGAGGGACCGGUUCCUCACUUGAGAGACCGGUCUCUCACAGACCGGUCUCCUCGACAGGACCGGUCUCUGAGGACGACACAGGUUUUUGAAAUCGACUUUUUGCAAUCCUAGUCUACUUCUAAGUCUUCUAAACAUAUAAAUAAGCUAUGUGGGUCAUCUAAAAUUAAGGCUUUGAAUAUUUUACCAAUUCCAAACCCUAGAAACUUGUUUUCUUCCCGUUUCAAUGCUUCGAUUUACAUGAUGAGUUUCUAGCAAUCAACAUCGGCUUGAUUCUUCGUUUUUACUCGAUACUUCUUACGAGAAUCAAGUAGAUGAUUGAUUAAAGGUGAACCCUCAUAGCUUAUGGUUUUCAAAAGUUAAAUCACCACAAAUCUUCAAUUCUACAAGCUCCGGAAGGAGGUUCGGCGCGUGGAUCUCGCGUGAAGCCGAGGAUUCGGUGGACGCUUCGAGGAGUUGAGGCGUUGACGCUGCGAGGAGUUGCAGCAAGGUCGAUUGGUGGAUUCCUAUCGAUCGAGGACCGGCAAAGAUCACCGUCAACAAGAAAUCGGUAAAUUGAGUCGUGGGUUUUUGUCGAAAUCACUUGUACUCAAGUUUUCUUAGUGGAUUUUCUUUGCGUAAUCGGUCACGUGGGUUUUUCACUCCGAAUUGGAGUUUUCCCACGUUAAAUUCUCGGUGUGCUGUUUUAAUUUUCGCUAUUUUGUUUGUUUGCAUCGAGAUUUUUCGAGUUUGCCGGAUUUACACCUAUUCACCCCCCUCUAGGUGUUACUUACCUUUUAGAUCCUCGGGAUCCAUAUCUUACACAAUGAAAGGACGUUUGUAAAGUCCUCGGUGCAGCUUCGUACGCCGUCUCAACGUGCUUCUUCCCCUCCUGCAGCUCCACCUCCUGCUACUGCUACUUCUUCCCGUCCUUCUAUGGACAUUUCUGAGGAAGAUAUUUCCGUUUCAUCGGUGUAUCGCGAGCAGCAACGUCUAUCUGAGGAGUUUCAGAAGUUGUCUGCAGAACAAGCUGCGAUUCGUAAGGAUGUGAGCAAGAUGAAGCGCCUGUUGAAUAUAAUUUUUGACAAAUUGGGAUGU